AGUGAAGGUGGCUGAAUGCUGGCAUAAAUUAUCCAGAAUUGUGGAAUCUUCAUCCUUGAAGGCAUCAAAACCUGACUGGGAAUGGUGCUGUGCAACCUCCUCUAGCUGACCAUGCUUGAACAAGACAGUUGGGCUAGUAUUUUAAACAUAUUUUCUUCAGUGUGAAGUUCUGGCAAGAAUCAAGUUGCUGUUUGCUCAGUCAGCACUUGGGAAACUUUCUUCUAAAACUGAGGCAUCCUCCACUGAGAUUCCCAUCUGCUAAAAUUCUAUGGAGAAACACAUAACUGGGCAGCUCGAGAAUUUCAUCUGCACCGUGUGGAACUUGUUAAUCUAUUCCAGUAAAUUGAAACUCAAGACACUAAACUAGAGGAGUUUUGCCAAAACAGCAUUGGACCUCAAACAUCUGUGACAUAAAUACCAAUUAAUACUUUAGCUGGAACAAUCACAAGACUUUGCAGACUUCUAAAGCUUCUGUAGAUCAAUGAAAAACAAACAAACAAACAACAAAAAAAAUAAUAAAGCACAACAACAUAAGUCUCUUUCAGGAAAUUUUAAAGCCUAAUGUAUCUUUACAAAUUUCAGCAUUCUUUUGAAGUAUUUUAUCAUUAGGUCAGCAGGAAAUACAGCUUAUGGCUGUGCAUAAAGAUGAGUUGAACAUGAAAUGCCAUACUUCCUAAAGUCUUUGUGCUGUAAAAACUCAAAUCAUUAUAAUGGCUAAGUGAGCCAACUUACAUAACUUAAAGUCUUUAUUGUGUUGAAAUGAGAUAUUAUUUUGUUGGUAAAGUUCUCAUUGAUAUUUAUUUCCAGUACCAACAUGUUGUAAUGGGUUUACAUGGCAAGGUUUUGGUAGCAGGGGGCCAUAGGGGUGGUUUCUGUGAGAAGGAUCAAGAAGCUGCCCCAUGUUUGGGAAGGGCCCCACUGCUAACCAGAGCCGAGCCAAUAA
Anas platyrhynchos (mallard) is the source of this 943-nucleotide non-coding RNA. The record is from RefSeq and is a predicted model, not a curated record. NCBI's taxonomy places the organism in Eukaryota, Metazoa, Chordata, Aves, Anseriformes, Anatidae.